GACAGCAGUAGCCGCGGGAAUACGAGGGGAGCUAGCGUUGUUCGGAAUUACUGGGCGUAAAGCGCGCGUAGGCGGCUUUUUAAGUCAGAGGUGAAAGCCCGGGGCUCAACCCCGGAAUUGCCUUUGAAACUGGAAAGCUAGAAUCUUGGAGAGGUCAGUGGAAUUCCGAGUGUAGAGGUGAAAUUCGUAGAUAUUCGGAAGAACACCAGUGGCGAAGGCGACUGACUGGACAAGUAUUGACGCUGAGGUGCGAAAGCGUGGGGAGCAAACAGGAUUAGAUACCCCCGUAGUCCCUGUCUCUUAUAC
RNAcentral lists this ribosomal RNA (306 nucleotides) under uncultured bacterium. RNAcentral's name for it is "partial 16S ribosomal RNA". It matches the Rfam family "Bacterial small subunit ribosomal RNA", at positions 507 to 807 of the family's 1533-position model. The record is from RNAcentral.